RNAcentral lists this long non-coding RNA (1275 nucleotides) under Phasianus colchicus (ring-necked pheasant). RNAcentral's name for it is "lncRNA (ENSPCLG00000011848.1)". The record is from RNAcentral. Lineage: Eukaryota; Metazoa; Chordata; Aves; Galliformes; Phasianidae.
GGUCUCCCUACCUCCCAGAAACACCAUCCUAAGUUACAGAAGCCUUCUUCCAGCACCUUUCAAACUGAUGUCACAGUCCUGAUGUGUUUGGCAGUACCACAGUCCCUUCCAUGGUUACGGUAGGUUUACAUGGGGUCUUUGCCUUUUGUGGGAUCACUGGACACAUCCACCAGAUAAACAUGGCACUAUAACAGCAGCGUCUAUGCAACUCACCAUCAAGAAAGGGAGAAGAAAGGAACCAGAGAUAGAUAUAGGAGAAAACAAUAGAAAAGAAGGAAAAAGAAGCAUCACUCUUGAGAUUUCACUCUGUAGAUUUGAUUCUCUACUGGCACCAGUGGUAAAGGAGGAGCAUGGAGAAGACAAUGAAAGCAAGAAGGAUGGAUUAUAGACUUUCUCACAGCUUUGAAGGACAGUCUCUGGUCUCUGCAGGCUUGUAGCUGGAUGCAUCCCAGAGCCCUUCGCAGUGGUUCUCGAGGGUACGCUGGGAGAGCUGGCACCAAUAAUCUGUAGGACACGUGUCUGGAAGAAGGGCUGAUUGCAAACAACCAAGCCAAUCUGUCUCAGCAGAUAACUGGAGGCCAGGAGCACCAGCCAGCUCGCAGCCAUGCAGGUUCACUGCAGUUGGUGGCACCUCCUCUAGGAGGAAAAAGGGCUAUAUAUAAAGAUAUCUAUCUACCUAUCUAUAUAUAGUUAGUAUCUAUAUAUCUAUCUAUCUGUAGAUAGAUACAGAUGGCCUCUUGGACAGGGACACCCUCACAAUUACACGUGACAAAGGUAUUUGUGAGGUGGGGAUGAUGCUAAUUAAAGUUUCUUCUCAUGUAAGAGGAAGGAACUCAACUCAGCCAACAAGAAUCUCAGAAUUAUUAAUGUUGUUGGAAAAGACCUCUGAGAUCAUCUGGUCCUACCAUCCACCUACUGCCAGCAUAGCCCACUGAACCACGUCCUUAAGUACAACACCUCCAAUGCUCCGAGCACCAGGCUCACACUGCUUCAAAUCCUGAAGCCCCUAUUCGAAAAACAAUACCCAGAGAUCACACGGUUAAGUUACUGCCACAGACUGCAUUAAAAUUCAGGUGUUCCUGAUACCCAGGACGUAUUCACUGAAUGCCUCAGCUCUUUGGCCAGCUGACAGAUCGCACCAUGCCAGGGAAAGGAGCCAACGUGACUCAUGCUCAAUCACCGCGAUGCCGACGGUACUGAGUGCUGUUUUAGGGGAGGUUAAAUGCUGUGAAUGCACUAAGCAUUAUCAAUAUUAAAAUAUUAUUAGUAUUAUUU